This 433-nucleotide ribosomal RNA is filed under the name uncultured bacterium. RNAcentral's name for it is "partial 16S ribosomal RNA". It matches the Rfam family "Bacterial small subunit ribosomal RNA", at positions 29 to 507 of the family's 1533-position model. The record is from RNAcentral.
AACGAACGCUGGCGGCAUGCCUAACACAUGCAAGUCGAACGAGACCUUCGGGUCUAGUGGCGCACGGGUGCGUAACGCGUGGGAACCUGCCCUUAGGUUCGGAAUAACUCCCCGACAGGGGUGCUAAUACCGGAUAAUGUCUUCGGCCCAAAGAUUUAUCGCCUUUGGAUGGGCCCGCGUUGGAUUAGCUAGUUGGUAGGGUAAAAGCCUACCAAGGCGACGAUCCAUAGCUGGUCUGAGAGGAUGAUCAGCCACACUGGGACUGAGACACGGCCCAGACUCCUACGGGAAGCAGCAGUGGGGAAUAUUGGACAGUGGGCGAAAGCCUGAUCCAGCAAUGCCGCGUGAGUGAUGAAGGCCUUAGGGUUGUAAAGCUCUUUUACCCGGGAUGAUAAUGACAGUACCGGGAGAAUAAGCCCCGGCUAACUCCGUG